GGACGUAUGAGUAACGCGUGAGAAUCUGCUCUAGGUCGGGGACAACAACCCGGAAAGGAUUGCUAAUACCCGAUGUGCAGCAAUGUGAAAGAUUUAUUGCCUAGAGAUGAGCUCGCGUCUGAUUAGCUAGUAGGUGUGGUAAUGGCGCACCUAGGCGACGAUCAGUAACUGGUCUGAGAGGAUGACCAGUCACACUGGGACCUGAGACACGGCCCAGACUCCUACGGGAGGC
Molecule: ribosomal RNA, 232 nt
Filed under: uncultured bacterium
Lineage: Bacteria
Description: partial 16S ribosomal RNA
Rfam family: Bacterial small subunit ribosomal RNA
Source: RNAcentral